This 423-nucleotide ribosomal RNA is filed under the name uncultured archaeon. RNAcentral's name for it is "partial 16S ribosomal RNA". It matches the Rfam family "Archaeal small subunit ribosomal RNA", at positions 323 to 746 of the family's 1478-position model. The record is from RNAcentral.
CUACGGGGUGCAGCAGGUAGGGAAAUUUUACAAUGCACGAAAGUGUGAUAAAGCGAGCCAGAGUGUUUUUCUUUUAAGAAAAACUUUUAUUUGUUGUAAAAAGACAGAUGAAUAAGGACUGGGAGAGACCGGUGCCAGCCGCCGCGGCAAUACCGGCGGUCCAAGUCGCAGCCACAAUUAUUGGGUCUAAAACAUCCGUAGCUCGUUUAGUAAGUUCUUUGUGAAAUCUUAUCUCUUAAGGGUAAGGCGUGCAAGGAAUACUGCUAGACUAGAGACUGGAAGAAGUAAGAAGUACAGUUGAGGUAGUGGUAAAAUACGUUGAUCUUGACUGGACUAACAACAGCGAAGGCAUCUUACUAGUACAGAUCUGACAGUGAGGGAUGAAGGCUAGGGUCGCAAAACGGAUUAGAUACCCCCGUAGUC